GGGGCAGUGCGGGCGUGCUAUCAUGCAAGUUGAGCGCUGAAGGUUGGUACUUGUACCGACUGGAUGAGCAGCGAACGCGUUAGAAACGCGUGGGGAAUCUGCCUUUGAGCGGGGGACAACCUUUGGAAACGAAUGCUAAUACCGCAUAAAAACUUUAAACACAAGUUUUAAGUUUGAAAGAUGCAAUUGCAUCACUCAAAGAUGAUCCCGCGUUGUAUUAGCUAGUUGGUGAGGUAAAGGCUCACCAAGGCGAUGAUACAUAGCCGACCUGAGAGGGUGAUCGGCCACAUUGGGACUGAGACACGGCCCAAACUCCUACGGGAGGCAGCAGUAGGGAAUCUUCGGCAAUGGACGAAAGUCUGACCGAGCAACGCCGCGUGAGUGAAGAAGGUUUUCGGAUCGUAAAACUCUGUUGGUAGAGAAGAACGUUGGUGAGAGUGGAAAGCUCAUCAAGUGACGGUAACUACCCAGAAAGGGACGGCUAACUACGUGCCAGCAGCCGCGGUAAUACGUAGGUCCCGAGCGUUGUCCGGAUUUAUUGGGCGUAAAGCGAGCGCAGGUGGUUUAUUAAGUCUGGUGUAAAAGGCAGUGGCUCAACCAUUGUAUGCAUUGGAAACUGGUAGACUUGAGUGCAGGAGAGGAGAGUGGAAUUCCAUGUGUAGCGGUGAAAUGCGUAGAUAUAUGGAGGAACACCGGUGGCGAAAGCGGCUCUCUGGCCUGUAACUGACACUGAGGCUCGAAAGCGUGGGGAGCAAACAGGAUUAGAUACCCUGGUAGUCCACGCCGUAAACGAUGAGU
This 798-nucleotide ribosomal RNA is filed under the name Lactococcus lactis. RNAcentral describes it as "bacterial SSU rRNA". It matches the Rfam family "Bacterial small subunit ribosomal RNA", at positions 26 to 814 of the family's 1533-position model. Lineage: Bacteria; Bacillati; Bacillota; Bacilli; Lactobacillales; Streptococcaceae. The record is from RNAcentral.